GAGCCCCCCGGGGAGCCACUCCCGGAACAGAUCCCAGACGCAUCACCUGUCAAGAUCAGGGCCAAGCCAGAACUGGUGGCAGCAUCUUAAUUUCACUCCUGGGGAUAACCCCGAAUAACUUCCAUCAUGGACAGUGUGGAAUCCCAGCAUGCCCUGGGAACAGGGAACGCCCCGGUAGCAUCCCAGCUGCGCUGGGCGAGUGUGCUGGGUCAGGUUCCCUAGGCAGGGGAUCUCCGCAGAUUAUCGCUCUUGUAUCAAGAUUAUUUUCUAGCGCUUUCUUUUUGUAAUUUAAAUUCUCAACGCACUCGGCUGCGCGGUCUCUGGAUUAAACAGCGACUGCAAAACUU
This is a non-coding RNA of Pelodiscus sinensis (Chinese soft-shelled turtle), 347 nucleotides long. NCBI's taxonomy places the organism in Eukaryota, Metazoa, Chordata, Testudines, Trionychidae. The record is from RefSeq and is a predicted model, not a curated record.